GACGAACGCUGGCGGCGUGCCUAACACAUGCAAGUCGAACGGAGUGUUGUGCUGAAAUUGAGAUUAGCUUGCUAAAGGAUAUUUCUUGCAACACUUAGUGGCGGACGGGUGAGUAACGCGUGAGGAACCUGCCUUACAGAGGGGGACAACAGUUGGGAACGACUGCUAAUACCGCAUGAUGUGGAGGGGAGACAUCUCCCUUUCACCAAAGGAGCAAUCCGCUGUAAGAUGGCCUCGCGUCUGAUUAGAUAGUUGGUGGGGUAACGGCCUACCAAGUCGACGAUCAGUAGCCGGACUGAGAGGUUGAACGGCCACAUUGGGACUGAGACACGGCCCAGACUCCUACGGGAGGCAGCAGUGGGGAUAUUGCACAAUGAGGAAACUACCUGAUGCAGCAACGCCGCC
RNAcentral lists this ribosomal RNA (405 nucleotides) under uncultured bacterium. Its description in RNAcentral is "bacterial SSU rRNA". It matches the Rfam family "Bacterial small subunit ribosomal RNA", at positions 28 to 401 of the family's 1533-position model. The record is from RNAcentral.